UUGACAACCGAGUGUUUUCCUUUUGGCCAUCACUCGAAAAAUUAAACCAAUCAGAACAUGACAGCUGUCAAACAGGUUACAGCUGUUUGUCUGCAGUCACAGCUGUUUGUCUGCAGUCAAAAAAGACCCAAAAAGUUGUUUUCUGGUUCUCUGAUCCUUGCCUGUCCGGCCCUUUGUCUGACAAAGCUGAAAAGCUAACAAAUCUUUGGCCUGCUUCUCUUCUUGCAACACAAGAAAACAACACAAACCUUCUAGAAACUACUACAGCAGAUCUGGACGAAAAAAGGUAGGUGAAAAGAACACAAUAAACAUCUGGACGAGCGGGACAGGGGAAACCACUUUACCCCCAAGAUCUGGACGAGGAAGAGUGUCAACAGAGGGAAGGAGGAGAGCAGGGUACUUACCAGAUCUCUUGUACGAGAGGAGGACAAGAGCACAGGAUGGAAGAAGAUGAUGGUGAUGGAGGAAAAACUCAAGCUGUUGAUGCAGAUCCCGGUUUGGAGAACCAGCAAGCCAGCCAGGGUCAGUAUACACAGCUGAUGCAGGACAUGAUAUUUCUUGGCAGUCAAGGAGAUCCUUCUUUACAGAACAUGUCAUAUUUGGAAUUGCUUGGUGUGAGUCCAUCAAAUUAGAAUGAAAUCAUGUCGGACACACAGGAUGCACACCAUGGUGUUCGAUUGGCUGAUGGUUGCGACUAUG
Molecule: long non-coding RNA, 699 nt
Organism: Lolium perenne
Lineage: Eukaryota; Viridiplantae; Streptophyta; Magnoliopsida; Poales; Poaceae
Source: RefSeq, a predicted model, not a curated record